RNAcentral lists this small RNA (684 nucleotides) under Xanthomonas vasicola. RNAcentral describes it as "bacterial LSU rRNA". The stretch from base 237 to 684 matches the Rfam family "Bacterial large subunit ribosomal RNA", at positions 1 to 502 of the family's 2925-position model. Lineage: Bacteria; Pseudomonadati; Pseudomonadota; Gammaproteobacteria; Lysobacterales; Lysobacteraceae. The record is from RNAcentral.
GACCACCACUCUGAAUGUAGUGCACACUUAAGAAUUUAUAUGGAUCAGCGUUGAGGCUGAGACAUGUUCUUUUAUAACUUGUGACGUAGCGAGCGUUUGAGAUAUCUAUCUAAACGUGUCGUUGAGGCUAAGGCGGGGACUUCGAGUCCCUAAAUAAUUGAGUCGUAUGUUCGCGUUGGUGGCUUUGUACCCCACACAACACGUACAUGUAACUCCGAGGCAACUUGGGGUUAUAUGGUCAAGCGAAUAAGCGCACACGGUGGAUGCCUAGGCGGUCAGAGGCGAUGAAGGACGUGGUAGCCUGCGAAAAGUGUCGGGGAGCUGGCAACAAGCUUUGAUCCGGCAAUAUCCGAAUGGGGAAACCCACUGCUUCGGCAGUAUCCUGCAGUGAAUUCAUAGCUGCUGGAAGCGAACCCGGUGAACUGAAAUAUCUAAGUAACCGGAGGAAAAGAAAUCAACCGAGAUUCCCUAAGUAGUGACGAGCGAACGGGGAGCAGCCCUUAAGCUGGAAUGGCUUUAGAAAAACAAUCUGGAAAGAUUGGCCAUAGAAGGUGAUAGCCCUGUAUUUAAAAGGGCCACUCCAGUGAAGACGAGUAGGGCGGGGCACGUGAAACCCUGUCUGAAUAUGGGGGGACCAUCCUCCAAGGCUAAAUACUCCUGACCGACCGAUAGUGAACCAGUACC